UUGAGAAUAAGGGUUCGACUCCGGAGAGGGAGCCUGAGAAACGGCUACCACAUCCAAGGAAGGCAGCAGGCGCGCAAAUUACCCACUCUCGGCACGAGGAGGUAGUGACGAAAAAUAACGAGACGGAUCUCUUUGAGGCCCGUUAUCGGAAUGAGAACAGUUCAAAUCCUUUAACGAGGAUCUAGCGGAGGGCAAGUCUGGUGCCAGCAGCCGCGGUAAUUCCAGCUCCGCAGGUGUAUAUAUAUGCUGCUGCGGUUAAAAAGCUCGUAGUUGGAUCUGCGUGCUCGGAACUGGUUGGCUCACUGAGUUCAAACUGGUCUCCGGCGCUUUAUUGGCUGGUUUUCCCUUGAUGCUCUUAACCGGGUGUCUUGGGUGGCUAGCACGUUUACUUUGAAAAAAAAUUAGAGUGCUCAAUACAGGCGUAAAGCCUUGAAUAGUGGUGCAUGGAAUAAUAGAAUAGGACCUCGGCUCUAUUUUGUUGGUUUUCGGAACGCGAGGUAAUGAUUAAGAGGGACAGACGGGGGCAUUCGUAUUGCGACGUUAGAGGUGAAAUUCUUGGAUCGUCGCAAGACGGACGACUGCGAAAGCAUUUGCUAAGAAUGUUUUCAUUAAUCAAGAACGAAAGUUAGAGGUUCGAAGGCGAUCAGAUACCGCCCUAGUUCUAACUGUAAACGAUGCCAACUAGCGAUUCGCAGGCGUUAAACAACGACCUUGCGGGCAGCUUCCCGGAAACGAAAGUGUUCGGGUUCCGGGGGAAGUAUGGUUGCAAAGCUGAAACUUAAAGGAAUUGACGGAAGGGCACCACCAGGAGUGGAGCCUGCGGCUUAAUUUGACCCAACACGGGAAAACUCACCCGGCCCGGACACCGUAAGGAUUGACAGAUUGAGAGCUCUUUCUUGAUUCGGUGGGUGGUGGUGCAUGGCCGUUCUUAGUUGGUGGAGCGAUUUGUCUGGUUUAUUCCGAUAACGAACGAGACUCUGGCCUACUAAAUAGUGGGCGGAUUCUUUCUGUCCGCAGCACUUCUUAGAGGGACAAGCGGUGUUCAGCCGCACGAGAUUGAGCAAUAACAGGUCUGUGAUGCCCUUAGAUGUCCGGGGCUGCACGCGCGCUACACUGAAGGAAUCAGCGUGCUUUCUGACCUUGCCCGAAAGGGCUGGGUAACCCGAUGAAAAUCCUUCGUGAUUGGGAUAGGGACUUGCAAUUAUUUCCCUUGAACGAGGAAUUCCCAGUAAGUGUGGGUCAUAAGCUCGCGUUGAUUACGUCCCUGCCCUUUGUACACACCGCCCGUCGCUGCCCGGAACUGAGCCGUUUCGAGAAGAACAGGGACCGUCGUUGAAGGGCCUUAACGGGCUUUUCUCUGAUAGGAACUGUUUUAAUCGCAGUGGCUUGAACCGGGCAAAAGUCGUAACAAGGUU
RNAcentral lists this ribosomal RNA (1415 nucleotides) under metagenome. RNAcentral describes it as "SSU rRNA". It matches the Rfam family "Eukaryotic small subunit ribosomal RNA", at positions 360 to 1801 of the family's 1831-position model. The record is from RNAcentral.